CCUGCCCCUGCAGGUGUUGCGGCUGUGGCUGCCGUGUCCCAGCUGUGUCGUGGGUGGCAGAGAGGAUGAGGCGCCGUCUACACUGAGUGCUCUUGGACCGUGAGCCCCAGAAUGCUGGCAGCCACACAGG
RNAcentral lists this small nucleolar RNA (130 nucleotides) under Dasypus novemcinctus (nine-banded armadillo). Its description in RNAcentral is "Small nucleolar RNA SNORA17 (ENSDNOG00000035554.1)". It matches the Rfam family "Small nucleolar RNA SNORA17". From Rfam's summary of the family: snoRNA ACA 17 belongs to the H/ACA family of snoRNAs and is predicted to guide pseudouridylation of the 28S rRNA at positions U4659 and U4598. It shares the same host gene together with ACA43. NB This family has a high threshold value to exclude a large number of closely related sequences that do not appear to have conserved H and ACA boxes, and may be pseudogenes. The record is from RNAcentral. Lineage: Eukaryota; Metazoa; Chordata; Mammalia; Cingulata; Dasypodidae.